Molecule: ribosomal RNA, 406 nt
Filed under: uncultured bacterium
Lineage: Bacteria
Description: partial 16S ribosomal RNA
Rfam family: Bacterial small subunit ribosomal RNA
Source: RNAcentral
AUUGAACGCUGGCGGCAGGCCUAACACAUGCAAGUCGAACGAGUGGCGGACGGGUGAGUAAUGUCUGGGAAACUGCCUGAUGGAGGGGGAUAACUACUGGAAACGGUAGCUAAUACCGCAUACCAUCAGAUGUGCCCAGAUGGGAUUAGCUUGUGGGUGGGGUAACGGCUCACCAAGGCAACGAACCGUAGCUGGUCUGAGAGGAUGACCAGCCAGACUGGAACUGGAACACGGUCCAGGAACCGACGGGAGGCAGCGGUGGGGAAAAUUGCACAAUGGGCGCAGGCCUGAUGCAGCAGUGCCGCGUGUAUGAAGAAGGCCUUCGGGUUGUAAAGUACUUUCAGCGGGGAGGCGUUACCCGCAGAAGAAGCACCGGCUAACUCCGUGCCAGCAGCCGCGGUAAUAC